CUUUGUUGCCCAGGUGUCCUGGGCCGUUGACAGGGCCGAACCGGGCCGCAAAAACUGCAAGGUGGACAGUGUUCUUUGCCACAGGCUCUUAAGAAGAAUUCACUCACAGCAAAAGUGAACCAGCAAGAAUCUCAGAGGGCACUAUCAAAGUGGUUCAUUGGGGCCAGAGACAGAGGAGGACAAGGGGCUUCCAGAAUGCAGUCGAGACCGACAUAAGUAGUAGGCCUAAUCAGCAGCUGUUCUGUUCUUUUGUUGUUCACUGUUGUUUUAAUAUGUGCUGUAUUGAGAAUGUUGCAAAUGCUCUUUAAUGAUGCUGUUAUUAGGAAUAGCAUAUAUUCUUUUAUUAAGAAAAGCACAUAAUUAAGCUGGCCUUAUGGUUCUGAGCUGUUAAUAAGCUAUGAAAGCUUUA
This is a long non-coding RNA of Brienomyrus brachyistius, 409 nucleotides long. RefSeq lists it as uncharacterized. The transcript has 3 exons. The record is from RefSeq and is a predicted model, not a curated record. Lineage: Eukaryota; Metazoa; Chordata; Actinopteri; Osteoglossiformes; Mormyridae.